RNAcentral lists this long non-coding RNA (1180 nucleotides) under Fragaria vesca (wild strawberry). Its description in RNAcentral is "long non-coding RNA (FVES_LNC003118)". Lineage: Eukaryota; Viridiplantae; Streptophyta; Magnoliopsida; Rosales; Rosaceae. The record is from RNAcentral.
GCAUAGAAUAUAUAGAUAUAUUCAAUCAAGUAGUAGGGUCAAAUGGCGAUGAGUUGGAUGAGACUAUUUUCUACAUAGUUGCCUCACCUGUCUGCCAAAGCCUCUUUUUUUUGUUCAUGUGGCAAAGAAAUGAGUGUGAAACUGUGAAUAACAUGAGUCACUUAUCUUUUUUUUUUGACAUAUGAGUCACUUAUUUGUAUAGGUAAUUAACAGCUGGUACGAGUCAAAUGGCAACGAUUCGAUGAGAUUGUUUUUCUCCAUGGUCUCACCUAUCUGCAAAAGUCAAAUUUCUAUGGCAAAGAAAUGACCGUAUUGAACUAAUAAAAUGUGUAUGUGUCUUUCCCUAUAACUUUGACCGAGUCACUGAUAUAUGCUAAUCCAUUAAAAUGAAGGGGCAGAUUAUUUAUGCUCUACCUAAUCAGGCCUUAGCUAUAUAGAUAGAGACACGCACAUAAUAUUCACAGUCAUUGCUUUGUCAUAGAAAUAUGACUUUUGCAGACACAUUGCCAAUAUCAAUAUCAAUAUCAACAAAUCAAUCCCGACUGCGGCCUUUUUUUCCGGAGUGUCCAGUCCAUCUCACCCCUUUCUUUAUUUUUCCACCAGCCCAUCCACCUUCCUUAGAUCCACCACCAACAUCACCUCCAUGCCUGCAAAAUCCACCACUCACGUCCUAUUCCACCACCUGAACAAAAUCCACCAUAACCUCAUGGCCUCUACCAUCUUUUUUAAUUCCCCCUCCAAUACCACAUGGUCUUCCUCUUACAGAAACCUACCAUGAUGGACACCUCCAACCCUAUGCCUACCACGAAAGCCACCUCCCUCACCUGCUCCACCACCACUGCUGCCUCCAAAGCCACGAAAUGGCAGUUUUGGGAAUACAAUGGACACAGGGCAAAAUCGUCAUUCACAUUCACCCAAUUGCAGCAUUGUAAAUAAGUUGCAAUUAGGGACAUCACUGUCAUUUUCCCAGAGAAAUGAACAGUUUUUCUCAGCUGCAGACGUCCGGACCAAUAGUUUUGGUGCGGAUUUUCAUUUUUGCACCACUUUUCGAUCGAAUUUCCUCAUCUCCACCGUCCAGUAUCUAGAUAAUAUUGUGUAGAUCAUCUAUGCAAAAUUUCAGCAAAUUUGGUAAUCGUUAAGGCCCUCAAACUUGAAAAACAAUGGAUGGACUGAAUUCUNN